GACGAACGCUGGCGGCGUGCCUAAUACAUGCAAGUAGAACGCUGAAGGAGGAGCUUGCUUCUCUGGAUGAGUUGCGAACGGGUGAGUAACGCGUAGGUAACCUGCCUGGUAGCGGGGGAUAACUAUUGGAAACGAUAGCUAAUACCGCAUAAGAGUAGAUGUUGCAUGACAUUUGCUUAAAAGGUGCAAUUGCAUCACUACCAGAUGGACCUGCGUUGUAUUAGCUAGUUGGUGGGGUAACGGCUCACCAAGGCGACGAUACAUAGCCGACCUGAGAGGGUGGGCGGCCACACGGGGACUGAGACACGGCCCAGACGCCACGGGGAGGCAGCAGGAGGGACUCUGCGGAAAGGGAGGGAGGCCAGACCGAGAAAGGCGGGGGGAGGAAAGAAGUGUUGGGGAGCGAAAAGCUCUUUUGAAAGAGAAGAACGGGGGGGGGAGGGAAAAUUACACCCGGGGAGGGUAGUUAAACAGAAGGGGACGGCAAACUCCGGG
This 495-nucleotide ribosomal RNA is filed under the name uncultured bacterium. RNAcentral's name for it is "partial 16S ribosomal RNA". It matches the Rfam family "Bacterial small subunit ribosomal RNA", at positions 28 to 507 of the family's 1533-position model. The record is from RNAcentral.